Ctenocephalides felis (cat flea) is the source of this 365-nucleotide long non-coding RNA. RefSeq lists it as uncharacterized. The record is from RefSeq and is a predicted model, not a curated record. NCBI's taxonomy places the organism in Eukaryota, Metazoa, Arthropoda, Insecta, Siphonaptera, Pulicidae. The transcript is spliced from 3 exons.
CGAAACUUUAGGCGGUCUUCUGAAUGGUUUGCACUCUGGUCUCACUUUACUCGAACGUCUUGGAUUUUGGUCUCAUCUUGCUCGAAUAGCCUGCGGCCUGGUCUUGUACUUGUUGUAUCGAAUUGCUAAUUUGACUAGUACUGCUGAUCGUGCUGUCCCAAAACACUUGUCAAGAUUCUACUAUGUGUUGCAUUGAGAAGCCAAUGCCAAGAACCUAAAUGUAAUAUGGGAGAAAUUCAUUUAUCAAUUGUGAGGAAUUAAGACCAGAGUGAAGUGACCGGCAACCGAUGAACCUCAUUGUCAUGUUUGGGCGUCUUAAACUUCUGGCCACUGAUGACUUCGAGGUCUUUUGUUGUUAUAAAAAU